ACUCUUUUAGCUUAAAUUAUAAAGUGUUAGUUUGAAGGGCUAAUGAUACAUGGUUGUAGGGAGUA
This 65-nucleotide transfer RNA is filed under the name Tylodelphys immer. RNAcentral describes it as "tRNA-Phe". The record is from RNAcentral. Lineage: Eukaryota; Metazoa; Platyhelminthes; Trematoda; Diplostomida; Diplostomidae.